Long non-coding RNA from Hirundo rustica (Barn swallow), 1601 nucleotides. RefSeq lists it as uncharacterized. The transcript has 4 exons. NCBI's taxonomy places the organism in Eukaryota, Metazoa, Chordata, Aves, Passeriformes, Hirundinidae. The record is from RefSeq and is a predicted model, not a curated record.
GAACAUUCAGAGAUUCCCAAGGUUUCUCCUCUCUUUGAAUUGGUUAAGGAUUUGGCACAGCUCACAAGAACUCUUUCAUCUCAGAAGCUGAGGACUUUAAAAAUAUACAGAGACGGGGGUCUAUCCUCCCCCCUGAAAUGAAACAUUUAAAAGUAGCAGGUACUGCUAAUAGCUGCCUGAGAGUGACAAGUGAACAAGUCCUACGUGGAUCAACUGCAGAAUAAAAAGGCCAAUGUCUUGAUGCUGGUGAAAAAGAAGCCAAGCAAUGCAGUUCUUUGCACAGAGCUGAGCCGUGAUUUGUAAUCACAGCGGAGAAACCUUGCAUGUCCGUCUCCUAUGUUCCACAUUUGGGAUACCUUCUAUCAUAAUACUCAGAAAAUCUAGAGGCACAAAUAAAGCUGAAGUUUUAUAUACCUCCUACCAUUGACCAGCGCAAAAUGUAACAGUUGUCAAAAUAUUGAAUAAGAAGUAGGAUGUGCACAUGUGUGCGUGGUCUAAGGGCAGAGAGUGCAAAGUGCUGAGGUUUACCAUGGCUCUGUCGCAGCGGGAAGCUCAGCAGCUCCUAUGAGUUUCUCUUGAGAGUGAGCUGAGCUUUGUCUUUUGGGGCAUCCUGAGAAGGGAGAAGAGAGCACAGAGGACAUUUGGUAGUCAAGCGGGAUGGUUGAGUCCUGCCAACAGAACAGCUGUGCUGGCAGCUGGCAGGUGCUGGUCUCUGUUGGCCAGAUAAGGCCAGCCAAGCAGAAGUACAAGCCAUUUCUCAACAGGGAAGCCUGCUUUAUCAGCAUAAACUGAAAAGACAAAAGGAGAAGCAGAAACAAGAAAUCUACAGAAGGUGAUAAUGAGAGUAGGAAGAAUCAGACAUCUCUGUCUACAAGAGAUUAUAUGUUUUCUUGUUUGCUCUCUGGUGUUAUUCUAGACACAGGUAUAGCUUUUGUUCAGUUAUGCUAUUUGCUGCUAUCUUAUAUGCCUCUGACACUGCUACACUUCCCAUUAACUUACGUUUGGCUGAAAAGCUUGAUGUGAAGACAGCAUGAGAUGUAGGAUCUACUGGUUUCAGGUUUUGCCAGAAUAAAACAAUUGUAUGGGAAGGACCUUGUCAGUCAUCUUUCACAAGCUGCGUCUGUAGAGAUUUUUAAAUCAGUCUCUGGGAGAUGUUCCUCCAGUACAGGUUAUUGCUCCUCAGAUCACGUACAUUUCCUCUUCAGUUCACUAGCAGUCCUUAAAGGAUGUGGACAUCAGAUAAGCAGAUGACACUGUACCCAUUUCAUCACCUCUGCUCACAGAAACCAGAAGCUGUUCCUUUUGUUAUUCUUUUGUCUCUGUAAGGACCUCAAUAAUCUCUUCUCUGACGUGUUGUUGCACUAGGGCCACAAGUUCAGCUCUUCAGCCACAGUAAAUAUAACAGAAAAUUUUUCUUUGAGUACAUGCUUUUCAGGAAAAAAACCACCUCUUGCUCUUUACAAUGCUCUCUUAGACACUGAUGUUUCUUAGUCCUGGCUGUAAAUUUUUUCUCCUCAACAAAACACCAUGCAUCUGCAUGGUUAUCCUGUCCCACUCAUUAUUUUCAGCUCUAUCAGACUAGGUAUCUUUUUUGAACUUCA